GAUGAACGCUGGCGGCGUGCCUCAAACAUGCAAGUCGAGCGGGGCUAUGUAAUAUCGCAAGGUAGAACAUAGCCUAGCGGCGAACGGGUGAGUAACACGUGGGUAACCUGCCUGGAAGACAGGGAUAACGAUUCGAAAGGGUCGCUAAUACCUGAUAAUAUCCUUUCAUCGCAUGGUGAUAGGAAGAAAGGGGAAACCCGCUUUCAGAUGGGCCCGCGUCCCAUCAGCUAGUUGGUAAGGUAAAGGCUUACCAAGGCGACGACGGGUAGCCGGUCUGAGAGGAUGUACGGCCACACUGGGACUGAGAUACGGCCCAGACUCCUACGGGAGGCAGCAGUUGGGAAUCUUAGGCAAUGGACGAAAGUCUGACCUAGCGACGCCGCGUGAGGGAAGAAGGCCUUCGGGUUGUAAACCUCUGUCAUGGGGAAGAAGGAAGUGACGGUACCCCAAGAGGAAGCCCCUGCUAACUACGUGCCAGCAGCCGCGGUAAGAUAGCGUACU
Molecule: ribosomal RNA, 501 nt
Filed under: uncultured bacterium
Lineage: Bacteria
Description: bacterial SSU rRNA
Rfam family: Bacterial small subunit ribosomal RNA
Source: RNAcentral